UAGAGGGGAAAUUAAUUUGUAUCUGUAAGUAACGAUAAACCAUUGCUUACUAAAAAUGAUUUUGAGCGGAAUUCAGUUGAUAGUGAUACUUUGUCAACAAUAUAUAUGCCAUAUUAUGGUAAAAUAAUUAUUUAGGCAUUAUUUAUUUGCAUUAAUAAUAAAUAAUAUUUGUUUAAUAUUUUACCGAGUUUUUCGUUUUCCUGCGUUUUUCCUGGUUUUUAAUGUUUGCUGGGAAAACUAUUAAGAAAAUCGAAAAUGAUGGCCUUAAAGUACCACCCCAAGAAAAUUUACUUUCAGAAAAGGCUCUACAUCGGAGUUAGCUUUCCAGUAGAAAAAGUAUUCACAUAAAAAAAAAA
Non-coding RNA from Cinara cedri, 356 nucleotides. Lineage: Eukaryota; Metazoa; Arthropoda; Insecta; Hemiptera; Aphididae. The record is from the annotation of a GenBank genome assembly.